CACGUAGGCACCAAGCGUUAUCCGGAUUUAUUGGGCGUAAAGAGCUCGUAGGCGGUUCGGUAAGUCGGGUGUGAAAACUCUGGGCUCAACCCAGAGAGGCCACCCGAUACUGCUGUGACUAGAGUGCGGUAGGGGAGCGGGGAAUUCCUGGUGUAGCGGUGAGAUGCGCAGAUAUCAGGAGGAACACCGGUGGCGAAGGCGGGUCUCUGGGCCGUUACUGACGCUGAGGAGCGAAAGCGUGGGGAGCGAACAGG
RNAcentral lists this ribosomal RNA (254 nucleotides) under uncultured bacterium. RNAcentral describes it as "partial 16S ribosomal RNA". It matches the Rfam family "Bacterial small subunit ribosomal RNA", at positions 524 to 776 of the family's 1533-position model. The record is from RNAcentral.